GCAUAUCAAAAAGCGGAGGAAAAGAAACCAACCGGGAUUGCCUUAGUAACGGCGAGUGAAGCGGCAAAAGCUCAAAUUUGAAAUCUGGUACCUUCGGUGCCCGAGUUGUAAUUUGGAGAGGGCAACUUUGGGGCCGUUCCUUGUCUAUGUUCCUUGGAACAGGACGUCAUAGAGGGUGAGAAUCCCGUGUGGCGAGGAGUGCGGUUCUUUGUAAAGUGCCUUCGAAGAGUCGAGUUGUUUGGGAAUGCAGCUCUAAGUGGGUGGUAAAUUCCAUCUAAAGCUAAAUAUUGGCGAGAGACCGAUAGCGAACAAGUACAGUGAUGGAAAGAUGAAAAGAACUUUGAAAAGAGAGUGAAAAAGUACGUGAAAUUGUUGAAAGGGAAGGGCAUUUGAUCAGACAUGGUGUUUUGUGCCCUCUGCUCCUUGUGGGUAGGGGAAUCUCGCAUUUCACUGGGCCAGCAUCAGUUUUGGUGGCAGGAUAAAUCCAUAGGAAUGUAGCUUGCCUCGGUAAGUAUUAUAGCCUGUGGGAAUACUGCCAGCUGGGACUGAGGACUGCGACGUAAGUCAAGGAUGCUGGCAUAAUGGUUAUAUGCCGCCCGUCUUGAAACACGGACCA
This 616-nucleotide ribosomal RNA is filed under the name Saccharomyces cerevisiae (brewer's yeast). RNAcentral's name for it is "eukaryotic LSU rRNA". It matches the Rfam family "Eukaryotic large subunit ribosomal RNA", at positions 38 to 668 of the family's 3401-position model. The record is from RNAcentral. Lineage: Eukaryota; Fungi; Ascomycota; Saccharomycetes; Saccharomycetales; Saccharomycetaceae.